Molecule: ribosomal RNA, 301 nt
Filed under: uncultured bacterium
Lineage: Bacteria
Description: bacterial SSU rRNA
Rfam family: Bacterial small subunit ribosomal RNA
Source: RNAcentral
GUGCCAGCCGCCGCGGUAAUACGGAGGGUGCAAGCGUUGUUCGGAAUUAUUGGGCGUAAAGCGCGUGUAGGCGGUCUGUUAAGUCUGAUGUGAAAGCCCGGGGCUCAACCCCGGAAGUGCAUUGGAAACUGGCCGACUUGAGUACGGGAGAGGGUAGUGGAAUUUCAAGUGUAGGGGUGAAAUCCGUAGAUAUUCGGAGGAACACCAGUGGCGAGGGCGGCUCACUGGCUCGAUACUGACGCUGAGGUGCGAAAGUGUGGGGAGCAAACAGGAUUAGAUACCCUGGUAGUCCACACCGUAA